This 253-nucleotide ribosomal RNA is filed under the name uncultured bacterium. RNAcentral describes it as "partial 16S ribosomal RNA". It matches the Rfam family "Bacterial small subunit ribosomal RNA", at positions 524 to 776 of the family's 1533-position model. The record is from RNAcentral.
UACGGGGGGGGCAAGCGUUGUUCGGAAUUACUGGGCGUAAAGGGCGCGUAGGCGGCGCAACAAGUCACUUGUGAAAUCUCCGGGCUUAACCCGGAGCGGCCAAGUGAUACUGUCGUGCUAGAGUGCGGAAGGGGCUACUGGAAUUCUCGGUGUAGCGGUGAAAUGCGUAGAUAUCUGGAGGAACACCGGUGGCGAAGGCGGCAUCCUGGACCAAUUCUGACGCUGAGGAGCGAAAGCCAGGGGAGCAAACGGG